UGCAAGUCGAACGGUAAGUAGUGUAGCAAUACAUUGCCUAGAGUGACGUACGGGUGCGUAACACGUAUGCAACCUACCCAAAACAGGCGGAUAGCUCGGGGAAACUCGAAUUAACCCGCCAUAAUAUAAUUGAAUGGCAUCAUUUGAUUAUUAAAACUCCGGUGGUUUUGGAUGGGCAUGCGUCUGAUUAGUUAGUUGGCGGGGUAACGGCCCACCAAGACGAUGAUCAGUAGGGGAACUGAGAGGUUGAUCCCCCACACUGGCACUGAGAUACGGGCCAGACUCCUACGGGAGGCAGCAGUAGGGAAUAUUGGUCAAUGGGUGCAAGCCUGAACCAGCCAUGCCGCGUGCAGGAAGAAGGCCUUCUGGGUUGUAAACUGCUUUUAUCGGGGGAUAAAAUGACUGUGCGCAGUUAAUUGAAGGUACCCGGUGAAUAAGCCACGGCUAACUACGUGCCAGCAGCCGCGGUAAUACGUAGGUGGCAAGCGUUGUCCGGAUUUAUUGGGUUUAAAGGGUGCGUAGGCGGCCCUGUAAGUCAGUGGUGAAAUGCUCUAGCUUAACUAGAGAGGUGCCAAUGAUACUGCAGGGCUUGAGUACAGAUGAGGUAGGCGGAAUUGACGGUGUAGCGGUGAAAUGCAUAGAUAUCGUCAAGAACACCGAUAGCGAAGCAGCUUACUGGGCUGUAACUGACGCUGAUGCACGAAAGUGUGGGGAUCAAACAGGAUUAGAUACCCUGGUAGUCCACACUGUAAACGUUGAUUACUCGCUGUUUGCGAUACACAGCAAGC
Molecule: ribosomal RNA, 788 nt
Filed under: uncultured Flexibacteraceae bacterium
Lineage: Bacteria; Pseudomonadati; Bacteroidota; Cytophagia; Cytophagales; Cytophagaceae
Description: bacterial SSU rRNA
Rfam family: Bacterial small subunit ribosomal RNA
Source: RNAcentral